UCCAGGCUUCAGAACAAGUUCUUUCAGUCCAGCUGUAUUUGUUGGGCAGGUGCCUGUUGAUGCUGUUCAUCAGAUGAUGACAGAGUUUGCUGCUGCUGUAGCUUCUGCUGUCUCCUACUCCCAGCUGGGUUAAGUGAAGGGAAUAGCGGCACUGAAAGCAUGGCAAUUAUUCUCUAAAUAAAACAUGGCUCUGGGUGGAGAAGAGAAGUAUCAGGCUGGGUUGGCUUAAACCGAGAUUUUUUUGAAGGACACUUCUGUAAACUUCAUCUUGUCCUGCACAGGCACACGUCUGGCUACUCAUUUCCAUCCUUGUCCCUAUUCUUCUGGGAAAGAUGGCACUCACCUUUCUUGAGGGGGUUCGCUUCUCUCUGAAAAUGGAGGAAAAUGACUCAGAACCGAUCUAUGCCUUCCCCUCCCAGAAGCUGCUUUUUCCCUUUCUCCAGUAAAUGGUGCCUGAUAAUGUGGCUGUCAAGUGACUGAACCUGCUCUAAUAAGAGCUGUACAGCACAUUAAAUUGCAGAAGCCUAUGUGUUAGUUAGACAAAUGGUGUGGUUCCUGGAAGAGUUGAUCAGAGCCCUGCACUUCUCCAGACACAGAGAUAGAGACAGACUAAAGAAAACAUAGAUCUCCUCCAGCCAUAGUUUUGGCAAUAUCAAAAUUGCCCUCAGUACUUGAGGCAAGUGUACAGAAAAAUGAGCACUGUAAAUAUCUGGUUCCAUACUUCUAAAGCAAAGGUCAUCUUUUUGAAUUAAUAAAUGGAAUUAAUUUAAUGUUUACAGGUGGGGAGAAACACUAUAGGAAUUAUUCUUUCCCCACCCAAACCUCUUCAAAAUAGAUGAAAAACAUUCAACCAGCAUGAGGUUGUGCAACCACUGCAGUGAGUGGCCCCCAGGAAAACAGUGAAAUUGUGCAAGCAGGUGCUGACCUGCCCAAAAGGAUCAGAUUCAUCUUUUACAUUGCUGAGUGCACAUGUCCACAUCCCCUCUUCAAACAAGGACAUUGUAAUCCAGCUGUCAUUUUGUUUGUUCUCUCCACAGAUUUUUGAUUAUUUGGUCCUGAGAAUAUCUGACACUCACAAGAAGGUCAAGCAGAAGAGCAAAGGGAAGAGCCAGUGCUUGUGGAAUGGGUUUAUCCCAGGAGCCCUGAAGUCGUCCAGCGCUACGCCCUGCCCGUGCUCUGGUCCUUCCUGGGGAACAAGGCGCUGCCUGUGCGAAGCGCCAGUGUCCGCACUGUGGUGACCAAGCUUGCCUCUGCCCUCUACGAGGUGAUGGGCACCAAGCUGAGGAAGUGUGCUGCCAGCCAGCCUCCACAUGUGCAGGAAAACCUCUCCAACAUCUUGGGCUGGUGAGGGACUGAUGCUCUCCAGGAAGCUGACGAAGAG
Molecule: long non-coding RNA, 1381 nt
Filed under: Parus major (Great Tit)
Lineage: Eukaryota; Metazoa; Chordata; Aves; Passeriformes; Paridae
Description: lncRNA (ENSPMJG00000004645.1)
Source: RNAcentral